AUCCUAGUUGACGAGUCCCAAGUAGGACGAAACAUGUGUCUUGGAU
RNAcentral lists this non-coding RNA (46 nucleotides) under Schistosoma curassoni. The record is from RNAcentral. Lineage: Eukaryota; Metazoa; Platyhelminthes; Trematoda; Strigeidida; Schistosomatidae.